This 2294-nucleotide long non-coding RNA is filed under the name Homo sapiens (human). RNAcentral describes it as "HSALNT0066928". Lineage: Eukaryota; Metazoa; Chordata; Mammalia; Primates; Hominidae. The record is from RNAcentral.
UGGGAGGCUGAGGCAGGAGAAUCGCUUGAACCCGGGAGGCGGAGGUUGCAGUGAGCCAAGAUCACACCACUGCACUCCAGCCUGGGCGACAAGAAAGAAACUAUGUCUCAAACAAACAAACUGAGAAUAACAAACUUUCCCAUGGACUGUCUUUACAAACAAAAACUGAAUGUGAAAGUAACUUCUCUAAGACCAGUAAUGGGACUACAGAGCCUGACUUAGCAGCUGGCCAGCACCGCGGAGGAAACGCCCUCUGACUACACAUCUGUUCCUGCAUUCACUCAACAAACAUCGAAGUGCCUGGCAUUGGUCUGCACGGCAUAAACAGAACAGAAGGGCUGCCUCCCAGUCCCACCCCUUCCACGCAUUCACUUCCUCACUCAUUCUUUCAGGAGACACCUGUGUCAGGCACGACGUGGUGAACUUUUAAAAACGGAUUCAGUAGUACCAAAAUACUCAUAAUGUGCAGACAGACAAAAGAACUGGAAGGAGUCGUGUUUUCAGACACAGGAAGCUUUUCACGUGCUCCACCUGGACCUCAUCUCUCAGCCUCACACUCCGAUCUUCAGCAGCCCCCGCUAUGCGCCCGAGUCUUGGGACGUCAUCCCGGAGCUCCUAGCCUGCCCGGGAGGCAGAGCCAUCAGAUUCUCCUCUUGGCCCCUUAUCCCAACUAAACACAUCACCACUGAGGACCUGUCCAGGGGUUUAGCUCCUGAUGAAGAGACAGAGAAAAGGUCAGAGAAAGGAAGGGUGACGCUCCAUCCAAGAUGACUACAGCGCUAUGAUUUCCAGAUGGGGAAGGUCACGGAUGCUGGACGCAACAGAAUCUCAACAGGGACCCGAGAGAGAGAGGCUCCUCUCUCCCUACACUAAUAUCCCACGAUCCCUGUGUCACUUUCCAGAACACACUGUCAGUUCCAUGGACCUAGGAUUAUAAAAUCCUGUAAGAUUUAUACAGAAAAUAUAAAAAUCUGGGGAGGGGGAACUGUGAAACAAUGUGAAAAAAACUAUUUGUCAAAUGGACAGUGGGGAAUAACUUCUCCUCCCGCACCUCCUCCAAGCUUCUAACAACACUCAUGGCACACAAUACAGAGGAGACUGCCAUAAAAAUGACUUAAAAUGUGCCCUUUUGAGGUAAAGUAACUAUGGGACAAGUGACUAUAAAAAUGACACAGCUGGGGAGAUCCAAAUCUAUUCCUGCUCAGCAAGUUUCCAGAUUAAAAUGUGUCUGCUUACCUAGUCAAGAUUUGGUUUUGUGCUGUUUUGUGUUUAAAUUUUCCUUUCAUAUAGAUGCUAGCAUGUUCUUCUUAAAAUAAAACACUUGUCCACCUCACUCCCCUCUCUGGGGAGACCCCUUGGUGGUCAGAGCCCACUGCCAGUUCCAUGGAAGUCCCAGGCAGGGGCAAGAGGGGACCUCUGUGGGAAGCAGUCUGACGGCCGCAGCAAUGGCCAAGCCCAAGGGCCGAGACCGCCUGCUCAAGAGAAAGGCGGGCUGCGCUGUCCCUGCUUCCUCUCUCCCCUUCCAUUCCCAUCCUCUUCCUUCUCUCAGCCUCCCCACCCUAGCCCCACUGCCAGCCAGGUGAACACUCCAAAGCAGCAGAUAAUUAAUGCCGGAUCUCCCAGGUCCCCAGAGGUCCCCAGUCUUCUUGUGAAAGAAGGCAAAAAACAUGCUCAAUUCCUUGUCGGCCAGCCAGUACCAAGCCAUUCCCAGCCCCAGCAUGAGACUGCAAACGUUACAAGGCAAUUCCCCAGAGCCAGCGGGGCACGCGGCAGGCAGUGCAGGGCUGUCAUCUGCAGACUCCAUUAUUAAAGGUCUCUGGAAACAUUUCAGCUGAGGGGUGGAGGGAGGGAGCAUGAAAAGGAGUAUAAGUCUCUGUUGAUUUUUGAGUGCCCAGGCCCUGCAAACGCCAUUCUUCAGACUCUGCUGCAGCGGAGGUCUCAUGGUUAUCAUAGUACAUAAUGAAAAUUAAAGAUGCUCAGGGUUAGAAAAACUCAGUUUCAUUUCGAAUCUAAAAUCUUUCAGAGCUUUCUUUCAGGAAGUCCAGAUAAUUAAACUGAUUUUAAGUUGCACUGUUUAUAAAAUCCUAGAUCUACAGAAAAUACAAAUUCUGGCCAAUCCUGUCUAAGCACGAUGGGUUUCCAAGUUUCCAUUUAUAUCACAUGAGAAGAUUCCAAAGCAGGCCUUGAAGGCAUUGGCGCUGUAACUGCAUUUAAUACUUAGCCCAGUUUAAACACCCCAUGACGUCAGUUCUCCCCGAUCCCUGAAGAGCUCACCAGCAGACAGGCAACUUCCA